CGAGCGAGGCGGAGGGGGCAACUCCUUCCAGUCGAGCGGCGGACGGGUGAGUAACACGUGGGUAACCUGCCCGGAAGUGGGGAAUACCUCGGGGAAACUCGAGCUAAUACCGCAUGACAUCUUUGGGACGAAAGUCCUGACGAUCAAAGCGGGGUCGCAAGAUCUCGCGCUACCGGAUGGGCCCGCGCCCGAUUAGCUAGUUGGUGAGGUAACGGCUCACCAAGGCUUCGAUCGGUAACCGGCCUGAGAGGGCGAUCGGUCACACCGGAACUGAGACACGGUCCGGACUCCUACGGGAGGCAGCAGUGGGGAAUCUUGCGCAAUGGGCGAAAGCCUGACGCAGCAACGCCGCGUGGAGGAUGAAGGCCCUUGGGUUGUAAACUCCUGUCGGCUGGGAAGAAAUCGUUCGGGGUUAAUACCCUCGGACGUUGACUGUACCAGCAAAGGAAGCCCCGGCUAACUCUGUGCCAGCAGCCGCGGUAAUACAGAGGGGGCCAGCGUUAUUCGGAAUUAUUGGGCGUAAAGGGCGCGUAGGCGGCCAUGCGUGUCUUCCGUGAAAUCCCUCGGCUUAACUGAGGACGUGCGGAAGAAACUGCAAGGCUCGAGUCCGGGAGAGGGGGGUGGAAUUCCCAGUGUAGCGGUGAAAUGCGUAGAUAUUGGGAGGAACACCGGUGGCGAAGGCGGCCCCCUGGACCGGUACUGACGCUG
RNAcentral lists this ribosomal RNA (708 nucleotides) under uncultured Acidobacteriota bacterium. Its description in RNAcentral is "bacterial SSU rRNA". It matches the Rfam family "Bacterial small subunit ribosomal RNA", at positions 63 to 748 of the family's 1533-position model. The record is from RNAcentral. Lineage: Bacteria; Pseudomonadati; Acidobacteriota.